ACAGUUGUAUGGAAGAAAUUGGGGUUCCUUCACAAAUUUGAUUUUUUACUAAUAAAUAAUAAGAUUCUGGGCACUUAUUAAUGCAUGGCCAAAACAUUCAUCUAUGCACAAAUGAUGCUCAUGAAGGCCAACUAUGCACAAAUAGAUGUUCAUAGGCUUAAAUAUGCAUGAUGAUGCUGGUGAUGCGUAUCGUGGUGAAGGUGUUGUGUAUAACAUGUGUUUUCUCAGAAAUUUGAAUUAGGCGGUUGAAUCUCCAAAAGUGAAGGUUUGAGAACAAGGUAUGUGCUAUAAGUUUCAUAAAGGCCACAUAUGAGAAAUUUGAUACGCUUGGAAGUUGGAUGGUGGGAUCUUUGGUAGAGCAUCGGCCAAAGCUAUUUUGGAGUUGGAUUUGAAAUUUGAUCGAUCGUCUACUCGAUUUUGGAACAUCCUCUACUCAAAAUCGGAAGAAGUGCUGUGAGUGGAAGGUAUUCAACUUGAAAAGGGCUGCCACUAGUAUGUUGGUCAAGAUUUAAAUUCUUAUAUAAAAUUUAUUUUUAUUUGCUUCACAAGUGAUUAUCAACAGGAGGGAGUUUUAACACUUGGUUCAAAAUCUGAGGUAUUUUUAACCUUAACUCUUAGAAAUUUGGAGUUAGCUUUGAUUUGCUUCUUAAUCACCCUGUUGAUUAUUUGAUUUAGGUUCUUAAUUACUCGGGCUGUCACAAAAACGGUCCUAGAAACUAGCCCUCCGAGAGAUCAUGUCCAUUGAACCAGCAAUGCCUAUGUUCCUCAAGUGGUCUGAGGUGCCAAUUACCCUUUCAAGAAAGGAUCAAUGGAUUAGUUUCU
This 822-nucleotide long non-coding RNA is filed under the name Setaria viridis. RNAcentral describes it as "long non-coding RNA (SVIR_LNC006669)". Lineage: Eukaryota; Viridiplantae; Streptophyta; Magnoliopsida; Poales; Poaceae. The record is from RNAcentral.